This 298-nucleotide long non-coding RNA is filed under the name Linum usitatissimum (flax). RNAcentral's name for it is "long non-coding RNA (LUSI_LNC001094)". Lineage: Eukaryota; Viridiplantae; Streptophyta; Magnoliopsida; Malpighiales; Linaceae. The record is from RNAcentral.
CACAACUCCCUUGACUACCGACGUACAGGUAGGAUUGCCUUUUAGCUGCUUCUCCUUUUACUGCAAAAAUUUUUUAUGUUGACCAGAGCUACUAGCUACCUUCUGAUACAGUAUACAAAUGGGAACUUUGACGGAGUAGUACAGUAUGCUCGAAACAAGCGAAUUCAGGUUAGUAAGCAACAUUUGUUUGUCACUGUUAUAACCAGAAACUAAUUUGAAGUAACAAUAAAUCAUAAUCCUUGAUUUGUAGGUAGCAUUGACAGAAAAGUGGGGCGACAUGUACAAGGACAGAGGAAUA